GAACCACGUCUUCCUUAGGUGGAACUGUCCUCUACAGUGCAGGCUGUCCAGCAUCGUCCCCGCCCACGGAUGGCAGGAGUGCUUCCCCCCAGCACACAUCUUUGUGACAACCCCUAAAAUCCCCUACACAUUUCCAAAACAGCUGGAAGGGGUAACAUGACUCCCACUGAGAGCUACUGGUAGAGAAGCGACAGAAAGAGCCUGAGACGCUGUGAGCAGCGACUUCCCAGUCAGUCACUGAAUUCACAAGCUAAACUGUCAAAGCUCCAUAGAGCUCUUGUUGCUCCUCCCUGUAGGACGAGAACCUACCCUCGUACAGUACAACUGAUCUCUGGCUCUCAGCAGACCCGUCACCGAGAACCAUGCCAUCCCACCUGGCCAGCUGCCACGAACCCCUUUGGAUGCAAU
Molecule: long non-coding RNA, 408 nt
Filed under: Equus caballus (horse)
Lineage: Eukaryota; Metazoa; Chordata; Mammalia; Perissodactyla; Equidae
Description: lncRNA (ENSECAG00000041857.2)
Source: RNAcentral